This 462-nucleotide ribosomal RNA is filed under the name uncultured bacterium. Its description in RNAcentral is "partial 16S ribosomal RNA". It matches the Rfam family "Bacterial small subunit ribosomal RNA", at positions 28 to 507 of the family's 1533-position model. The record is from RNAcentral.
GACGAACGCUGGCGGCGUGCUUAACACAUGCAAGUCGAGCGGUAAGGCCUUUCGGGGUACACGAGCGGCGAACGGGUGAGUAACACGUGGGUGAUCUGCCCUGCACUUCGGGAUAAGCCUGGGAAAUUGGGUCUAAUACCGGAUAUGACCUCCUAUCGCAUGGUGGGUGGUGGAAAGAUUUAUCGGUGCAGGAUGGGCCCGCGGCCUAUCAGCUUGUUGGUGGGGUAAUGGCCUACCAAGGCGACGACGGGUAGCCGACCUGAGAGGGUGACCGGCCACACUGGGACUGAGACACGGCCCAGACUCCUACGGGAGGCAGCAGUGGGGAAUAUUGCACAAUGGGCGAAAGCCUGAUGCAGCGACGCCGCGUGAGGGAUGACGGCCUUCGGGUUGUAAACCUCUUUCAGCAGGGACGAAGCGCAAGUGACGGUACCUGCAGAAGAAGCACCGGCUAACUACGUG